Molecule: unclassified non-coding RNA, 215 nt
Filed under: plant metagenome
Description: partial contains small subunit ribosomal RNA, internal transcribed spacer 1, and 5.8S ribosomal RNA
Source: RNAcentral
UUUCCGUAGGUGAACCUGCGGAAGGAUCACUAGUGAUUAAAUCGAGCGUGUCUUCAUUGACCGCUCACCCUUCUCACCAUCCACAUACACCUGUGCACUGUUUAGCCUGGGCCGGUUUUCCGGUCCAGGUUAUCAUUUCAUACAAACUCUAGUCUUAUGAAUGUAAACGUUUUAAUAACAUAAUAAAACUUUCAACAACGGAUCUCUUGGUUCUC